RNAcentral lists this microRNA precursor (162 nucleotides) under Prunus dulcis (almond). Its description in RNAcentral is "sRNA ncRNA". Lineage: Eukaryota; Viridiplantae; Streptophyta; Magnoliopsida; Rosales; Rosaceae. The record is from RNAcentral.
GAACGGAAGUGAGAAUGAGAGUGAAGAUGAGAAUGAGAGGAGAGGAUGAAAGGGAGGAGUAACAAAAGUGAAAUCCAUUUGAAAUUGUUUUCAAUUUUGUUACUCCUCCCUCCCAUCCUCCCCUCUCAUUAUCUCUCUCAAUCCCACCCUCACUUCCAUUCU